Molecule: long non-coding RNA, 4455 nt
Organism: Gadus morhua (Atlantic cod)
Lineage: Eukaryota; Metazoa; Chordata; Actinopteri; Gadiformes; Gadidae
Source: Ensembl
AUGAUGGAUUGGACAUUGUGUAUUGUAUGCCAAAAGUCUACUCAUGAACCACUCCGAUGCCCUUUAAAUGCGGAUGGAUUUGAAGAGAAUUCUGAGCCAUACAAAUCCUUCCUGGACAAUGUGAAUUAUUUCAGGGAGGUGAAUCAACUGCCAGUACCACUUCCUUUUGAUGAGGCCAGUAAUGUGGAGCAGUUCGCCAGGCAUCGUGCACAGUGGCAUAAGUCUUGUCACUUUAAAUUCUGUGCAGACAAACUGGAAAGAGCACGGAAGAGGGCGAGAGCUAGUUUUUCUGAAACCUGUGCUGCAGCUGAGAAACGACAGCGGCGUGAGCCUCUGGACAAGAGCGCAUGUUUGUUUUGUGGAAAGUCUGAUGGACGACUUCACAACUACGAGAGUCUUGAUGCAGAUGAGAAUCUCAAGGUUAAGGCCACAGAACUGGGUGAUACAGAACUAUCAAGCAGACUUGCGGGUGGUGACGUCAUUGCUUUAGAGGCAAAAUAUCACCUGACUUGCUUGACUGGAUUUCGAAAUCGACAUCGAUCGCUAACAAGACAACGCCAAAACUCCUCAGACUGUAAGAAACAAGAGAGACAAAUCAAAUCCAAAGCCUUUGUAGAGCUUGUCAGCCAUGUGGAAAAUUCUGUGGAAGGUGGUCAAUUCCACUUCAAGUUCUCAUCCCUGCGUGAACUGUAUGAAAACCGCCUGCUCAAGCUUGGUAUCACAAAGGAAAUCAACAAGGUCCGCUUCAAGGAACAAGUCCUGAAGUACUUUCCCUAUGCUCAGGAGCAAAGAGAUGGAAAGAAUGUGGUACUUGUUUUUGAACCAGGAAUGCAGGAAAUGUUGAAGCAGACAUUGAACUCUGACCAUGUGGAGGAUGCACUGAUUCUAGCCAAGGCUGCCAAACUUGUGCGCCGUGAUAUAUUCAACUCUGCUGGAUUCAGGUUCAAUGCCUCGUUCCCCUCGGAAUGCCAGCAGAACUCUGUUCCCACCAGUCUCAAGACCCUGGUCACAAUGAUGCUGGUCGGUGCAGACCUGAAGGAUCAGAGCACUACUGACUCCCAGGCCUGCCUCACUAUCUCACAGACCAUCUUGUUUAACUGUAAGAAGAAGGCUUCAACCUCCAAAUCACGACAUUCACUGGAGUACGAACCACCCUUGCCACUUUACAUCGGACUAAGUAUGCACACGCAGACCAGGUCAAAGAAAGUGAUAACACAGCUCUUUGAUUUGGGCCUCGGUGUCAGCUAUGAUCGGGUGGUGGAAGUGGAGAAUCAGCUGGCUACAGCUGUCUGUGAGAACAUUGAGAAGAACGGUGUUGUGUGUCCUGCUCAGCUACGCAAAGGCCUCUUCACUGUUAGUGCUCUCGACAACAUUGAUCAUAACCCAUCAAGCACCACAGCCAAAGGUUCCUUCCAUGGCACAGGCAUCAGUCUUUUUCAGUUCCCCUCCAUGUCUAAUGUGGGACACUGCCAGGAUGGAAUAGGCAUGCCUUCGCCAGAAACAAAAAGGAAUCAUCGCUUACCUGACAACUUCACCAAUGUGCCGGCAGUUGCACUCAAGAAGGCUAAUGUGGCUGUUCCCAAGACACCCAAUCCGACAAAAACAAUCGAGGGACACCUUAGUGGAGCACAUGUGAAAGAGGAAUGCUGGAUUGAGCAUUCACUGAAGGUGAUCGAAAAGGAGGAGCUAGACCAGGGAGACAUUGUGGCCUGGUCAGCCUACCACGCAUCUCUACAUGAUGUAUCAGAUGACCUGCAGCCUGCUCUCACUCAGCUCUUGCCACUGUUCUACGAGAAGGCUGCUACGGCUUCCAUGAUCAAGCAUGGGAUGGAUGUACAGCGUGAAGCCACACAGUUCCUGAAUCCAGGACAGAUCCCAGUAAUGGCUGUGGACGCACCACUGUACGCACUGGCCAAAUAUGUUCAGUGGAACUGGCCUCAAACACAUGGUGAAGACAAAUGUGUAGUCAUGUUUGGUGGCCUCCAUAUCGAAAUGGCAAUGUGGAAGACAUUUGGUGACUAUUUGGAAGCUUCUGGAUGGACCACAGCACUGACUGAGGCGGGCAUUGCAUCCACUGGCACAGCCGACUCCUUCCUCAAAGCAUCCCACCUCACCAGGACAAGACAUGCCCAUCAAGUGAGCGCCCUGGCACUGGCAAAGUUGCAGCACAAUGCCUUCUUGUACAUGAUGCCUGAGGGACCACAUGAUGAGAAGACCAAAGAAGCCUGGAGACAAGACAUGAUCAGAAAGAGUCCAACAUUCCAGUACUGGGAUACCAUCCUCAACAUGGAACUUCUGGGUCUGAUAUUUGUGCGGGCCCACAGAGAACAGGAUUUUCCACUCUAUGUGGAGACACUCAAGGCUCUUGUUCCAUGGUUCUUUGCCCUUGAUCACCAGAACUACGCACGAUGGAUCCCUGUCCACAUUCGCGACAUGGAAAGCUUGCCCUCAUCCAUUCACAGGGAAUAUCAAGAACAUGGCCAUUGGGUCGUUAACAAGACCACAAACAGAUUCUCUAGCAUGCCGAUAGAUCAGGCUCAUGAGCAGAACAACGAUCUGGUGAAGGGUUCCGGGGGUGCAGUGGGACUCACAGAAAAUCCCUCUGCCUUCAAGAAGUGGAUGAUCGCAGGGCCUGAACAAGCACGACUCCUAAAAGAGUUUGAGCAAGAGUAUAUGUCAGAAGAAGUCAAGAAACAACAACAUCACGAAGAAGGACUGUCCACACAGAAGAUAUUCAAAGGCCAAGCCCUCACUCUGGUGACCACCAUCAGUGGGAUGAGCAAUCCGUUCCUAGACAACACCCCAGAGCUACUUACGCUGGACACACGGAAUGUGAUUGACGGGUCUGUGGUCAACACUGUCCGCACUGUGGAAUCAGUGGGCAGGGAUCAGUACAACAACUACAAUAAGACAGUGAUAGUGGACCGCACACACUCCAUCCAUGAGCCCAUCAAACAUAACUCGCUGCCGCUCUUCAGAUGCCCAACACCCAAGACCAAGAGCAAGCAGGCAGGGCAGAUCUCAAUGUUGAAGGAUGAUGUGGCACUCUUCUCACGAUUGUACAUAGCCACUCAACACAGAGAGGGGGACCUGAGCACCUUCUUUGAGCACGAAAACCAUCCAUACCCUCCUUCUCUAUCUGAUAGAGGGAAACUACGGCUGGGAAAGAAGUCAGAUCUGCUAAACGUCCUUGCACAGAAGACACAACCGGAACCUCCUGCUACUUUUGAUGUCAAAGUACUUGACGGAGCUGCUGUGGUCCACUUCCUGUCCCCUACCAACAUCACCACGUUUGAAGAAUAUGCCAGCUGUGUCUUUAUUCCCCACAUCAUGAAACACUUGUGGACCUCUAAAAGAGUUGACGUCGUCUGGGAUACUUACUUCCCCAGCAGUCUAAAAGAGUCAACCAGGGAGAAGCGAGGCAAAGGGAUACGACGGAAGGUGUCUGGUCAGAACAAGCUGCCGGGGAAUUGGCCGGAUUUCCUGCGUGACCCUAAGAACAAGGAGGAACUCUUCACCUUUAUCUCAGGGAAGAUUGAGUCCACUGUGUGGCCAGAGGGGAAGCUGGUCUUCAUUACCUCUGGAACCAGAGUGGUCGGCACAGACACCAGCCACUCCAUGCUGCCAUGCAACCAUGAAGAGGCCGAUACUAGGAUACUGAUCCACCUACUUGAUGCCCUGGAGCAUGGCUCUUCUACCUGCUUGGUGCGCACUGUGGAUACAGAUGUUGUUGUGAUCCUCAUUGGCAAGUUCCAUGCCCUGCUCACCCAGUAUCCAGCUGCAAACAUCUGGAUUGCUUUUGGCACUGGCAAGAACUACACCUAUCUGCAUGUAAAUACCAUCAGCCACGCUCUGGGAAAGGACAAGUCAACCGCUCUUCCAGUCUUCCACUGCUACACAGGCUGUGACACAACCUCAGCAUUCUGUGGGAAGGGGAAGAAGUCAGCAUGGAUUGCUUGGAACUCCUACCCAGAGGUCACACAGGCCUUCAACUACAUAGCAGCAAAUCCGCACACUGCUGUGACCAUAGAUGCCCAACACUUCCGAUGUCUGGAGCGCUUCACUGUUGUUCUUUAUGACAAGACGAGUGAAUUGGAAUCAGUGAAUGGUGCAAGAAGAGAGUUGUUCUGCCAGAAGACCAAGGCAAUGGAACAUAUUCCACCAACCCAAGGAGCACUGAUCCAACACGUGAAAAGAGUCACUUACCAGUCUGGGAUCUGGUCAACAUCCGAAAAAACCCAGCAGCCAAUACCCAGCCCUGAAGGAUGGGGAUGGACACUGGAUGUAGACAGCCAGGCCUGGCUUCCUGUGUGGAGCACCUUGCCAAUCGCUUCAAAAGCCUGCAGUGAACUAAUCAAAUGCAGUUGUAUAAAGGACUGUACGGCAAGGUGCUCAUGCAAAAAAGCACAGUGGAAUUGCACAGGCCUUUGCAGUUGCAAAUGUUACACCAACUAA